GGCGGUGUAGCUCAAUGGUGAGAGCAUACGGCUCAUACCCGUAGUGUUGGAGGUUCGAAUCCUCCCACCGCCACCA
This 76-nucleotide transfer RNA is filed under the name Candidatus Tectomicrobia bacterium RIFCSPLOWO2_02_FULL_70_19. Its description in RNAcentral is "tRNA-Met". It matches the Rfam family "tRNA". From Rfam's summary of the family: Transfer RNA (tRNA) molecules are approximately 80 nucleotides in length. Their secondary structure includes four short double-helical elements and three loops (D, anti-codon, and T loops). The record is from RNAcentral. Lineage: Bacteria; Pseudomonadati; Candidatus Tectimicrobiota. RNAcentral also lists the same sequence under 1 other name.